GACGAACGCUGGCGGCGUGCCUAAUACAUGCAAGUAGAACGCACAGUUUAUACUGUCGCUUGCUACACCAUAGACUGUGAGUUGCGAACGGGUGAGUAACGCGUAGGUAACCUGCCUGGUAGCGGGGGAUAACUAUUGGAAACGAUAGCUAAUACCGCAUAAUAUUAAUUAUUGCAUGAUAAUUAAUUGAAAGGUGCAAUUGCACCACUACCAGAUGGACCUGCGUUGUAUUAGCUAGUAGGUGAGGUAACGGCUCACCUAGGCGACGAUACAUAGCCGACCUGAGAGGGUGAUCGGCCACACUGGGACUGAGACACGGCCCAGACUCCUACGGGAGGCAGCAGUAGGGAAUCUUCGGCAAUGGACGAAAGUCUGACCGAGCAACGCCGCGUGAGUGAAGAAGGGUUUCGGAUCGUAAAGCUCUGUUGUAAGAGAAGAACGGGUGUGAGAGUGGAAAGUUCACACUGUGACGGUAUCUUACCAGAAAGGGACGGCUAACUACGUG
This 505-nucleotide ribosomal RNA is filed under the name uncultured bacterium. RNAcentral describes it as "partial 16S ribosomal RNA". It matches the Rfam family "Bacterial small subunit ribosomal RNA", at positions 28 to 507 of the family's 1533-position model. The record is from RNAcentral.